AAAUAGAUGUAUGUGUGUGUGCAGGUAAAAGAUUAACUUGCAUAAAUAAGUUGGUUUAGUUUGGAGGCUAGCACAGAGUCAAAACCUUGAAUGUUGUCCAUUUUCCCAGAAACAUGUCAUUCAAAGGUUGUAAGUCAAUCUAGAGAGAAUCGCAAAAUGUGCUAAUACAAUUCCAAAAAGCUGUAGUUUUCAAGAACCCAUAAUCGCCGACUUCUCAACAACUUAUUGGAAGAUGAGUACUCACUCAAUCCAGGGGAAGAGAUGUUCAUCACCAUCGUACUCAUCAAUAUCCUCUAUCAAUUUCCUAAUUAUCAGAAAUCCACACAAAAUUAGACUGAGUAGAUUGAAUCCCAGAGAGCAAAGAUGUGAAAGCUGUAAGCUUAACCUCUGUUUCUCGAAGAGAUUCGGCCUAAAAUGGCGGUCAGUGUGAGACUUGAGAUUAUGUUUAAGAAGACAAAGAUUGUGUCCUCUCUUCAAAGCAAGAAAAAAUCUACUUCUUGUUAUAAAAUCUAAACCCGCCUUAGUCGUCGUUUCUUUCA
Long non-coding RNA from Raphanus sativus (radish), 539 nucleotides. RefSeq lists it as uncharacterized. The transcript has 2 exons. The record is from RefSeq and is a predicted model, not a curated record. NCBI's taxonomy places the organism in Eukaryota, Viridiplantae, Streptophyta, Magnoliopsida, Brassicales, Brassicaceae.